UCUAAAGCCAGCUAUACAGAUUUAUAACACAUGACAAAUGCCUUCUAUAAUUUUUUUAAAAGAUUUUAUUUCUUUAUUUAACAGAGAGAGGGAGAUCACAAGAAGGUAGAGCAGCAGGCAGAGAGAGAGAGGGAAGCAGGCUCCUUGCUGAGCAGAGAGCCCGACGACGUGGGGCUCCAUCCCAGGACCCCGAGACCGUGACCUGAGCCGAAGACAGAGGCUUUACCCACUAAGCCACUCAGGUGCCCCAACAAAUGCAUUCUAAAAGGAAGAAUGAUCCUAGGUAUGUUUGUUCCAUCAUAAAUAGAACCAAAAUAGGGAAGAAAAAAAAAGACAACUAAUUUUAAGAAGAUAUUUUAAUAUGUCUUUUAAAGGUCCAUGAUCUUCAUUCCAUUCAGAAGAAGGAAGAAUCUCUUAAAGCCUUCCGAAUUGUUCUUUAACAGUGCAAGAUCUCUUGGAUUCUGGACUUCGGUGUCAUGCAAAUUCGGCUACAUAUCCUGUGUCAGUGGCUCUGAAACUGUCAGCCUCCUACCCUCCAUUCCGUUAUCACUGGAAUAGCAUUCCUUAAGGUUCUUCAAGCCAAUAAGAUUGUGGAUUUUCUAUUGAAGUUUUAGCUACCCUAAAUGAUGAAGACCUGUGCCUAUCGUCAGUUGAAAAGUCAUAUAUAUGGGAAGCCCACUCCGUGUGAUUCCAUUCUACCAAGUGUUGAUUUGUCUCCAACGUCUGUCUACUUUUGGACACUAUCUAGUGCCUUCAGAGCUGUUAACAAAAAGGGGCCUUACCUGUUCAACGUCUGUGCUAAUUAAUGGUCACAGCUGCAGCCUGGACAUCCUCCUGAAGAAUGCAAAGGAUACCUGGACCCUAACUGAGCGGAAUUAAAGAAAGGGGUUUACAGUCCAUCUACCAUUUUGUAUGAUUGCCUAAUGUUUUCCAGCCACUGUGCUUGGCAUUAUUUUAUCAUGUCACCCAAGAUAGAACAUCUUUGUAUCUUUUUUUUAAAUUAAUUAGUUGAAAGAACUCUAAGUGAUUUAAUUUUAAAAGUAGGUCUACCUAACUUAAAUUUUUGGACUCUGUAAAUGACAUGAAAAAAUGUUCUUGGCAUCAAAAUUUAAUCAUUUAAAAUUUAAAAUUUGAUCAGUUCUCCACUAUCUAUCUGUUUCACAUUUAUUUUAGUAUAUCCUGUUGUAGAAACACUUUGUUCAUCUAAAAGGGAUCUUCAAAGUAGCUUUUAAUUUUUUUUCAUGAAAUUAACAAGAGUUUUGUCUAAAUUAAUUUGUCUGCACUGGUUCAUAAUAUUGGUGGAUAUUUACUACCAACAUUUCCAUUAAGCAAAGGACCUGAACUAUGUCAUACCUUUAGAUUGCUGAGUUCUUAUUUCUAUAAUGAAUAAUAUUGAAUGCACACUAAAGUGAAAUUUAAC
This 1420-nucleotide long non-coding RNA is filed under the name Mustela putorius furo (domestic ferret). RNAcentral's name for it is "lncRNA (ENSMPUG00000029645.1)". Lineage: Eukaryota; Metazoa; Chordata; Mammalia; Carnivora; Mustelidae. The record is from RNAcentral.